GAUGAACGCUAGCGGCAGGCUUAAUACAUGCAAGUCGAGGGGCAGCGCGGGUAGCAAUACCUGGCGGCGACCGGCAAACGGGUGCGGAACACGUACGCAACCUUCCUCCGAGCGGGGCAUAGCCCAGAGAAAUUUGGAUUAAUACCCCAUAUCAUAGUUAAGAAGCAUUCUUGAUUAUUAAAGAUUUAUCACUUGGAGAUGGGCGUGCGGCUGAUUAGGUAGUUGGCGGGGUAACGGCCACCAAGCCUACGAUCAGUAGCUGAUGUGAGAGCAUGAUCAGCCACACGGGCACUGAGACACGGGCCCGACUCCUACGGGAGGCAGCAGUAAGGAA
RNAcentral lists this ribosomal RNA (334 nucleotides) under uncultured bacterium. RNAcentral's name for it is "bacterial SSU rRNA". It matches the Rfam family "Bacterial small subunit ribosomal RNA", at positions 28 to 361 of the family's 1533-position model. The record is from RNAcentral.